AGCAGGGUAGAGCAGUCCGGUAGCUCGUCAGUCUCAUAAACUGAAGGUCGUCGGUUCGAAUCCGACCCCUGCUUCCA
RNAcentral lists this transfer RNA (77 nucleotides) under Opitutaceae bacterium. Its description in RNAcentral is "tRNA-Met". It matches the Rfam family "tRNA". From Rfam's summary of the family: Transfer RNA (tRNA) molecules are approximately 80 nucleotides in length. Their secondary structure includes four short double-helical elements and three loops (D, anti-codon, and T loops). Further hydrogen bonds mediate the characteristic L-shaped molecular structure. tRNAs have two regions of fundamental functional importance: the anti-codon, which is responsible for specific mRNA codon recognition, and the 3' end, to which the tRNAs corresponding amino acid is attached (by aminoacyl-tRNA synthetases). tRNAs cope with the degeneracy of the genetic code in two manners: having more than one tRNA (with a specific anti-codon) for a particular amino acid; and 'wobble' base-pairing, i.e. permitting non-standard base-pairing at the 3rd anti-codon position. The record is from RNAcentral. Lineage: Bacteria; Pseudomonadati; Verrucomicrobiota; Opitutia; Opitutales; Opitutaceae.